This 533-nucleotide ribosomal RNA is filed under the name Enterococcus faecalis. RNAcentral's name for it is "bacterial SSU rRNA". It matches the Rfam family "Bacterial small subunit ribosomal RNA", at positions 239 to 764 of the family's 1533-position model. Lineage: Bacteria; Bacillati; Bacillota; Bacilli; Lactobacillales; Enterococcaceae. The record is from RNAcentral.
CAUUAGCUAGUUGGUGAGGUAACGGCUCACCAAGGCCACGAUGCAUAGCCGACCUGAGAGGGUGAUCGGCCACACUGGGACUGAGACACGGCCCAGACUCCUACGGGAGGCAGCAGUAGGGAAUCUUCGGCAAUGGACGAAAGUCUGACCGAGCAACGCCGCGUGAGUGAAGAAGGUUUUCGGAUCGUAAAACUCUGUUGUUAGAGAAGAACAAGGACGUUAGUAACUGAACGUCCCCUGACGGUAUCUAACCAGAAAGCCACGGCUAACUACGUGCCAGCAGCCGCGGUAAUACGUAGGUGGCAAGCGUUGUCCGGAUUUAUUGGGCGUAAAGCGAGCGCAGGCGGUUUCUUAAGUCUGAUGUGAAAGCCCCCGGCUCAACCGGGGAGGGUCAUUGGAAACUGGGAGACUUGAGUGCAGAAGAGGAGAGUGGAAUUCCAUGUGUAGCGGUGAAAUGCGUAGAUAUAUGGAGGAACACCAGUGGCGAAGGCGGCUCUCUGGUCUGUAACUGACGCUGAGGCUCGAAAGCGUGG